This 66-nucleotide transfer RNA is filed under the name Polydora cf. ciliata DS-2023. RNAcentral describes it as "tRNA-Asn". Lineage: Eukaryota; Metazoa; Annelida; Polychaeta; Spionida; Spionidae. The record is from RNAcentral.
UAGGAGGAAGCUAAUUUUAAGCACCUGUCUGUUAAACAGGCCUUAGCUCUUUUUGAGCCCUUCUAG